Molecule: ribosomal RNA, 490 nt
Filed under: uncultured bacterium
Lineage: Bacteria
Description: partial 16S ribosomal RNA
Rfam family: Bacterial small subunit ribosomal RNA
Source: RNAcentral
AUUGAACGCUGGCGGCAGGCCUAACACAUGCAAGUCGAACGGUAACAGGAAGAAGCUUGCUUCUUUGCUGACGAGUGGCGGACGGGUGAGUAAUGUCUGGGAAACUGCCUGAUGGAGGGGGAUAACUACUGGAAACGGUAGCUAAUACCGCAUAAUGUCGCAAGACCAAAGAGGGGGACCUUCGGGCCUCUUGCCAUCGGAUGUGCCCAGAUGGGAUUAGCUUGUAGGUGGGGUAACGGCUCACCUAGGCGACGAUCCCUAGCUGGUCUGAGAGGAUGACCAGCCACACUGGAACUGAGACACGGUCCAGACUCCUACGGGAGGCAGCAGUGGGGAAUAUUGCACAAUGGGCGCAAGCCUGAUGCAGCUAUGCCGCGUGUAUGAAGAAGGCCUUCGGGUUGUAAAGUACUUUCAGCGGGGAGGAAGGGAGUAAAGUUAAUACCUUUGCUCAUUGACGUUACCCGCAGAAGAAGCACCAGCUAACUCCGUG